This 311-nucleotide long non-coding RNA is filed under the name Fukomys damarensis (Damara mole-rat). RNAcentral describes it as "lncRNA (ENSFDAG00000031419.1)". The record is from RNAcentral. Lineage: Eukaryota; Metazoa; Chordata; Mammalia; Rodentia; Bathyergidae.
ACCAGGACCAGUUCCUUUCUGCUGAGUAACUGCAGGGACACGGCGGAUUUAUUUUCUUGGCUCGACUGGCAUGAACUGGAGAACAGGGGUGCAUUUGAGGGGCAGUGGACCUCACACCAUGUGUUCUAGAUCCCGUGGCUGACUUCGGCACUGUGAAUGCAACAGCGCAGCAGCCAUGGGCAGGGGAGACUGACCACUGGGCCGCCCGCCACGCACAGUUCACGUGUCCACCAGGACAGCAGCCAGAGACACCCUCGGCUUUGCUCGAGUGGCUGCAUUACAUUGUUAUAAACAGACCCAUCUCCGCAAAG